GCGCCCAUAGCUCAGCUGGAUAGAGCAACUGCCUUCUAAGCAGUAGGCCGCAGGUUCGAGUCCUGCUGGGCGCACCA
This 77-nucleotide transfer RNA is filed under the name [Clostridium] methylpentosum. RNAcentral's name for it is "tRNA-Arg". It matches the Rfam family "tRNA". From Rfam's summary of the family: Transfer RNA (tRNA) molecules are approximately 80 nucleotides in length. Their secondary structure includes four short double-helical elements and three loops (D, anti-codon, and T loops). Further hydrogen bonds mediate the characteristic L-shaped molecular structure. tRNAs have two regions of fundamental functional importance: the anti-codon, which is responsible for specific mRNA codon recognition, and the 3' end, to which the tRNAs corresponding amino acid is attached (by aminoacyl-tRNA synthetases). tRNAs cope with the degeneracy of the genetic code in two manners: having more than one tRNA (with a specific anti-codon) for a particular amino acid; and 'wobble' base-pairing, i.e. permitting non-standard base-pairing at the 3rd anti-codon position. RNAcentral also lists the same sequence under 4 other names. The record is from RNAcentral. Lineage: Bacteria; Bacillati; Bacillota; Clostridia; Eubacteriales; Oscillospiraceae.